GUUUAUGGCCAUACCACCCUGAAUGCGCCCGAUCUUGGCUGAUCUCGGAAGCUAAGCAGGGUCUGGGCCUGGUUAGUACUUGGAUGGGAGAAGUACUCCUGAUGGUGAGACCCUCAGGCACCAGAGCA
Pteropus vampyrus (large flying fox) is the source of this 128-nucleotide ribosomal RNA. The record is from Ensembl. NCBI's taxonomy places the organism in Eukaryota, Metazoa, Chordata, Mammalia, Chiroptera, Pteropodidae.